ACAUGCUGUGCGGAAGAGAUCGCAUUUUGGCGACGCCGACGGAGCAACCGCCCCGGAAACUCUCAGGCAAAAAGGACUGCACAACGCGA
This 89-nucleotide non-coding RNA is filed under the name Paraburkholderia caribensis. RNAcentral's name for it is "Glycine". It matches the Rfam family "Glycine riboswitch aptamer". Rfam says of the family: This family represents the bacterial glycine riboswitch. Glycine riboswitches usually consist of two metabolite-binding aptamers domains with similar structures in tandem. Lineage: Bacteria; Pseudomonadati; Pseudomonadota; Betaproteobacteria; Burkholderiales; Burkholderiaceae. The record is from RNAcentral.